Molecule: ribosomal RNA, 425 nt
Filed under: uncultured bacterium
Lineage: Bacteria
Description: bacterial SSU rRNA
Rfam family: Bacterial small subunit ribosomal RNA
Source: RNAcentral
UGCCAGCAGCCGCGGUAAUACAGAGACUGCGAGCGUUAUUCGGAUUCACUGGGCGUAAAGGGUGCGCAGGCGGCCGUGUGUGUGGGGCGUGAAAGCCCGGGGCUUAACCCCGGAAUUGCACCUCAAACUACACGGCUAGAGCAUUGGAGAGGGUAGCAGAAUUCACGGUGUAGCAGUGAAAUGCGUAGAUAUCGUGAGGAAUACCAGAGGCGAAGGCGGCUACCUGGACAAUUGCUGACGCUCAGGCACGAAAGCGUGGGGAGCAAAAGGGAUUAGAUACCCCUGUAGUCCACGCCCUAAACGGUGCACACUAGGUCUUGGAGGAUUCGACCCCUUCAGGGCCCAAGCUAACGCGUUAAGUGUGCCGCCUGAGGACUACGGCCGCAAGGCUAAAACUCAAAGGAAUUGACGGGGGCCCGCACAAG